This 494-nucleotide long non-coding RNA is filed under the name Heterocephalus glaber (naked mole-rat). RNAcentral describes it as "lncRNA (ENSHGLG00000038433.1)". The record is from RNAcentral. Lineage: Eukaryota; Metazoa; Chordata; Mammalia; Rodentia; Bathyergidae.
AUUUCUCUAAGGCAUGCUCCCUGGAGUAAAGUAGCUGGUGUGAUUAAUCUUCUUCCAUUCACCCUUCCCAAGGCCACCCUCCACCCUCUGCUAUCCUGUCCUGGGCCUUGACAGGCUGAAUUUUCUGGACUAAUCAGGCCCCCUUGCUUUCUGCUUCCUGUUGUGUUUGCCCAAUGAAGAGGACCAAAGCUCUGGAUCAUGCCUCCCGGUCUCAGUGACCAGGCUGAGAAGGAAGAGAACAUCUCCUAGGACCAGUGUGGUCUAUGAAGCCCAAGACUGCUGGACAACAUCUGGGGACAGCCUCACAGUUCACACCGACAUGUGAAAUGUUCACACUAACGAAAAGUCAGGAGAGACGCUUGGGGAGACACAAGAAGAAAAGGCAGAUUCCACCAAAGCCUUCAUAUGCAUCCUCUCAUAAAUCUUCAGGCUGUGCGGUCAAGCCUACGGCUGCUGAGCAAGCAUGGCUGUGAUGGAAUCAAAACCCAAUGGGG